RNAcentral lists this ribosomal RNA (222 nucleotides) under uncultured bacterium. RNAcentral's name for it is "partial 16S ribosomal RNA". It matches the Rfam family "Bacterial small subunit ribosomal RNA", at positions 524 to 743 of the family's 1533-position model. The record is from RNAcentral.
UACGAAGGGGGCUAGCGUUGUUCGGAAUUACUGGGCGUAAAGCGCACGUAGGCGGAUAUUUAAGUCAGGGGGUGAAAUCCCAGAGCUCAACUCUGGAACUGCCUUUGAUACUGGGUAUCUUGAGUAUGGAAGAGGUAAGUGGAAUUGCGAGUGUAGAGGUGAAAUUCGUAGAUAUUCGCAGGAACACCAGUGGCGAAGGGCGGCUUACUGGUCCUAACGUGA